UACGGGGGGGGCAAGCGUUGUUCGGAAUUACUGGGCGUAAAGGGCUCGUAGGCGGCCAACUAAGUCGGACGUGAAAUCCCUCGGCUUAACCGGGGAACUGCGUCCGAUACUGGAUGGCUUGAGUUCGGGAGAGGGAUGCGGAAUUCCAGGUGUAGCGGUGAAAUGCGUAGAUAUCGCUUGGAACGCCAAAGGUGAAAACAGGUUGCUGGGGUUGUGCCGACGCUGAGACACGAAAGCCAGGGGAGCAAACGGG
This 253-nucleotide ribosomal RNA is filed under the name uncultured bacterium. Its description in RNAcentral is "partial 16S ribosomal RNA". It matches the Rfam family "Bacterial small subunit ribosomal RNA", at positions 524 to 776 of the family's 1533-position model. The record is from RNAcentral.